This is a long non-coding RNA of Fukomys damarensis (Damara mole-rat), 469 nucleotides long. RefSeq lists it as uncharacterized. NCBI's taxonomy places the organism in Eukaryota, Metazoa, Chordata, Mammalia, Rodentia, Bathyergidae. The record is from RefSeq and is a predicted model, not a curated record. The transcript is spliced from 3 exons.
AUGCAACAGUUUCAACCUGAAAACUUCAGUUCAAAUUGAGGUGUCAAGGGGCUGGGGACAUAACUCAAUGGCACCUAUCCCUGACUGGAAUUGGAUUUAUGUGCAGAGCUGUAAUGGAGAAUACUCUGGAUUCACAGCCAUAGAGAAAAUGGAAGAAAGCAGGAAUGGGCAAGGGAGAAACUGGGCUGUGGUACAGUCACAGUAGGCUGAAGCCAGCUCCACAGAGAGGUCUGAAGCAGGAAGGUACUCCCAGUCCAGGCAGAGAUCAGGUAUUUUUACCUCACCAGGGACCAGUCAAGGAGGAGUUAACCUUGGCCAAGAAUGUUCUCAGUGAGAAUAAUUCCAAGGGAGAGACAACAGCCAAAGAUCUUCCAGCCAAAGAGAACACAGCUGAACAACUGCCCUAUUUUACAAAUGAGAAAAUUGAGCCAUGAAGAGUACACAAAUUUUCCAAGUCAUACAGCAAGUA